Molecule: long non-coding RNA, 402 nt
Organism: Priapulus caudatus
Lineage: Eukaryota; Metazoa; Priapulida; Priapulimorpha; Priapulimorphida; Priapulidae
Exons: 3
Source: RefSeq, a predicted model, not a curated record
GGAAAAGACGCCAUUAUUUCUGGUUGGUGUUCCAUCCGAAAAGGUGGAAGGCAAUCCAACACCCUCCAGACUGUGUAAGUACCCGUGAUCACCAACGAAGUGUGCAGGGAACAGUAGGCCUACGGACAAUCUAAUAUUACCGACGACAUGCUAUGUGCGGGAUACCCACACGGUGGCAAAGACGCCUGCCAGGGUGACUCCGGCGGACCAAUGAUUUCCAAGAACGGAGGGCAGCAGAUUGGUGUGGUUUCCUGGGGCAGGGGCUGUGCGCGUCCAGGCUACGCUGGUGUUUACGCUCGAGUCUCUGUCUUGUAUGACUGGAUCAUGAAGUAUAUGAACUAGAAUGAGUAAGCCGAAGUCAAUGGACAACACAUGAAUAUAAAUUUACAAUAUCACGGUAUU